GAUCCUGGCUCAGAAUCAACGCUGGCGGCGUGCCUAACACAUGCAAGUCGCACGAGAAAGGGUAGCAAUACCUGAGUAAAGUGGCGCACGGGUGAGUAACACGUGAAUCAUCUACCUCCGAGUGGGGAAUAACUGAGAGAAAUCUUAGCUAAUACCGCAUAACACUUACGAGUCAAAGCAGCAAUGCGCUUGGAGAGGAGUUCGCGGCAGAUUAGUUAGUUGGCGGGGUAAUGGCCCACCAAGACGAUGAUCUGUAUCCGGCCUGAGAGGGCGCACGGACACACUGGAACUGAAACACGGUCCAGACUCCUACGGGAGGCAGCAGUGGGGAAUUUUGCGCAAUGGGGGAAACCCUGACGCAGCAACGCCGCGUGGAGGAUGAAAUCCCUUGGGAUGUAAACUCCUUUCGAUAGGGAAGAUAAUGACGGUACCUAUAGAAGAAGCCCCGGCUAACUUCGUGCCAGCAGCCGCGGUAAUACGAGGGGGGCAAGCGUUGUUCGGAUUUAUUGGGCGUAAAGGGUGCGUAGGCGGUUUGGCAAGUCUUGUGUGAAAUCUUCGGGCUCAACCCGAAGCCUGCACAAGAAACUGCCGGGCUUGAGUAUGGGAGAGGUGAGUGGAAUUUCCGGUGUAGCGGUGAAAUGCGUAAAUAUCGGAAGGAACACCUGUGGCGAAAGCGGCUCACUGGACCAU
Molecule: ribosomal RNA, 690 nt
Filed under: uncultured Acidobacteriota bacterium
Lineage: Bacteria; Pseudomonadati; Acidobacteriota
Description: bacterial SSU rRNA
Rfam family: Bacterial small subunit ribosomal RNA
Source: RNAcentral